This 456-nucleotide ribosomal RNA is filed under the name uncultured bacterium. RNAcentral describes it as "bacterial SSU rRNA". It matches the Rfam family "Bacterial small subunit ribosomal RNA", at positions 28 to 484 of the family's 1533-position model. The record is from RNAcentral.
GAUGAACGCUAGCGGCAGGCUUAACACAUGCAAGUCGAGGGGUAUUGGUUUUCGGACCAAGAGACCGGCGCACGGGUGCGUAACGCGUAUGCAAUCUACCUUUUGCAGAGGGAUAGCCCCAGAGAAAUUUGGAUUAAUACCUCAUAGUAUAGUACUUUGGCAUCAAGGAACUAUUAAAGUCACAACGGCAAAAGAUGAGCAUGCGUCCCAUUAGCUAGUUGGUAAGGUAACGGCUUACCAAGGCUACGAUGGGUAGGGGUCCUGAGAGGGAGAUCCCCCACACUGGUACUGAGACACGGACCAGACUCCUACGGGAGGCAGCAGUGAGGAAUAUUGGACAAUGGGCGCAAGCCUGAUCCAGCCAUGCCGCGUGCAGGAUGACGGUCCUAUGGAUUGAAACUGCUUUUAUACAGGAAGAAACACUCCGACGUGUCGGAGCUUUGACGGUACUGUAAG